CAACGUAUAUCAAAAUUUCUAUGAUAGGAAAAGAUUAAAAAAAUAAUAAUAAAAAAAUAAAAAACAAAAGAAAUCCCAAAAUUUAACAAUCUGUGUUCUGCUGGAACGACGGGAUUCUCCCCCGCCGCCUGGAUCUACUUUCUCUCUGCUCGCACCAUCUGUUCAAUUGUUUUCACAAAAGAAAUUUGGAUACCCUUUCUUCUUCCCUUCUCUCUCUCAAUUGUAAAAAUACGAUCUUUUCACCGUUUGCAUAUAUCUCUUCCUCCUUCCCUGUCAUUGGUAAAGAUCUGUUCUUUUCAUUGCAACAAUUGGUCGGAAACUGAUUGGAAGAAGGUAUAUUUUGUUGAUCACGCCGGAACCAUUCCUUGAUGCUCGCCUGGUUCUGAUCUCGCUUGCUUUUUUCCAUGGAAUCUAGGAUUUCAAGCAAGAACAGAGGAUCUGGAAGGGUCCCCGGCAAAUCCGCGGCAAACUCCUUCAAAAGAUCAAGGACAGACAUGUUAUUGAUCUAUGGUUUGUUAUCUGUCAAUCACAAAACAACUCUCUUAAUCGCCAAAUCUAAAGUUUACAAUCUGAUCAGAGGGUGUUGUCAAUUUCCUUCUCCCUUGCCCCUUGCAGAUUAUGCAAUUUCUGAUGUAAACUACCAGAGGCAAUUAUUCCUAGCCAGCUUCUUCAAGAACCCAGUGUUCUUGAGGCAAAGGUAUGUCCUAAAAUAUGGCUCAUAAAUUUGAAGUUUGGUAUCAUUUUAUGAAAAUUGCAAAUGAAGAGGGAGGGAAAUUUAAAUGUGGUUGUAAUGCAAUCAACUUAUGAAAGAAAAAUAAAAUCCGCAAGAAGGGAAAACCAAGAGCUAGAUCAAGCUAGAGAAUAGCUUAAACACCCACAACUCAAUCCCAAAAGAAAGGGAGAGGUAAAAAACUGCUUUGGCAGACUGAAUAUACUGAUAGUACUAAAAAGCUGCUCAAUACAACUUGGAACUACCCUUUUAUGUGACACAAAGAUGCCCUAGCAAAGACUUAUCAAAAAAAAAAAAAAAAGAUGCCCUAGCAAAGGAUUUAAUCCUAGCCCUUCAUACAAAUGUAAUCUAAGAGCUUGUAUUCUGUCCAGCAGAAUUAAGAUGCUAAACAUGUCAAGACAGUCCUUAAAUGGUCGCAUGACUCACUUAAAAGGCACAUGACUUAUAAAAUAAAACCAAAAUGACAAUAAUAUCCUAAACAUGAAAUAAAGACAGAUUUAAGACUUAUAAAUAACUUAAGACCCAAAAACAACCACAUUAUCCGAUCACAUGAUCUAGUCCUCUUAGGAUUUUUUGUUUCUUGUUGAUGUUAGAUGUAAACUACCAGAGGCAAUUAUGCUAGCCAGCUUCCUCAAGAACCCAAUGUUCUUGAGGCAAAGGUAUGUCCUAACAUAUGGCUCAUAAAUUUGAAGUUUAGUAUCAUUUUAUGAAAAUUGUAAAUGAAGAGGGAGGGAAAUUUAAACGUGCUUGCAAUGCAAUCAACAUUGAAAGAAAAAUAAUGCCUGUAAGAAGGGAAAAACAGAGACCUAGAUCAAGCCAGAGAACAGCUUAAGCACCCACAACACAAUCCCAAAAGAAAGGGAGAGGUAAAAAGUUGUUCCGGCAGGCUGAAUAUAUUACUUAGCCCUAUAUACAAAUGUAAUCUGUCCAGCAAAUUAAAGACACUAAAAUGACAAAAUAUUCCUUAAAUGGUCACAUAAUUCACAUAAAAGGCAUGACUUAUGAAAUAAAACCAAAAUGACAAUAAUAUCCUAAACAUGGAAUAAAGACUGAUUUAAGAUUUAUUAAAUGAUUCAAGACCCAAAAACAAUCACAUAAUCUGAUCACAUCAUCUGCCCCUGUUAAUGGAAAACUCAGUCCAGUCCUCUUAGGAUGUUCAACUAAUUGAAAGUAGUCCUCUAUGGCUCUAUCACUUGCUCUGCAUCAGCUUGUAACUAAAUUUAUGCAUGGGUGAGUGAGAAUGGGAAUAGCAUUGUGAGAGAACAUAUUUCAACAUAUCGCUACACUCAAGACAAGAAACAGAAACUUCUAUCAUUUCAAUCGGUAGCAAAAGAGGGCAGUAAUUACUGUUUUGGUUUUUGGAAAUAUGACCAAGAUAUCUUAACUUUGAUGAGUUGCCUUUCAAGUUUGUAGAGAAUGAAGGCUUUUUUUAUAAUUAUUUUUUAUUUUUUAUGUCACGUGUUGGAACCUUCAAAAUCAUGUCAGUUACGACAGUAACAAAGGAUUGCUUGCAUUUUAUGCUAGUGAGAACUGGGAAGAAAAUUUUGAAGAAAUUUUUAUCAAUUCCAAUCAAAGACUUUGCCACUCCACAGAUUCAUCGACUUUACCGGAAAAUCUUUCUUACAUAUGCCUUUCAUCUCAUUUUAUUGAUAAAGAUUGGAAAAACACUAUAUAUAUAUAUAUAUAUAUAUAUAUAUGUAUGUAUAUAAAUUUUUGCGUUAUUCUAGUACCAAAGGUGAGGCAGUUGGUCGACCAGUGUAGGCAUAUUUAAUUGAAUGGGACAUAGAAUAGCUAUGUACACUUACCAAUGAUAAAUGUAAGUUUAUUUGAUCUUCUUGUUGCA
Molecule: long non-coding RNA, 2573 nt
Organism: Cornus florida
Lineage: Eukaryota; Viridiplantae; Streptophyta; Magnoliopsida; Cornales; Cornaceae
Exons: 4
Source: RefSeq, a predicted model, not a curated record